Non-coding RNA from Potamilus streckersoni, 69 nucleotides. NCBI's taxonomy places the organism in Eukaryota, Metazoa, Mollusca, Bivalvia, Unionida, Unionidae. The record is from the annotation of a GenBank genome assembly.
UGCGUGGUGCAGUGGUAGAGUUUCUGACUCCAGAACAGUUGGUCGCGGAUUCAAUCACCGCCGUGACAA